UACGGGGGGGGCAAGCGUUGUUCGGAAUUACUGGGCGUAAAGGGCUCGUAGGCGGCCAACUAAGUCGGAUGUGAAAUCCCCAGGCUCAACUUGGGAACUGCAUCCGAUACUGGAUGGCUUGAAUUCGGGAGAGGGAUGCAGAAUUCCAGGUGUAGCGGUGAAAUGCGUAGAUAUCUGGAGGAAUACCGGUGGCGAAGGCGGCAUCCUGGACCGACAUUGACGCUGAUGCACGAAAGCUAGGGGAGCAAACAGG
Molecule: ribosomal RNA, 253 nt
Filed under: uncultured bacterium
Lineage: Bacteria
Description: partial 16S ribosomal RNA
Rfam family: Bacterial small subunit ribosomal RNA
Source: RNAcentral